CUUGUCCUACAUAAGAGGUCCAGCCUGCCCAGUGACAUUGUUCAACGGCCGCGGUAUCCUAACCGUGCGAAGGUAGCGUAAUCACUUGUUCUUUAAAUGAGGACUAGUAUGAAAGGCACCACGAGAGUCAUGCUGUCUCCUCUUUCUAAUCAGUAAAACUAAUCUCCCCGUGAAGAAGCGAGGAUAAAAAUAUAAGACGAGAAGACCCUAUGGAGCUUUAAACAAAUAACACUUGCCUAUUUCCAUUAAAUUUCAGAAAAACCAUUUACUCUGGCAUUAUAAUUAUAAGUUUUCGGUUGGGGUGACCACGGAGUAAAAAAUAACCUCCGCAAUGAAAUUACUCCAAAGUUAAGGACUACAAUCCUAUACAUCAACAAAUUGACAUCAAUUGACCCAACAUGUUGAUCAAUGAAC
RNAcentral lists this ribosomal RNA (414 nucleotides) under Adenomera heyeri group sp. ABGD cluster 15. RNAcentral describes it as "partial large subunit ribosomal RNA". It matches the Rfam family "Bacterial large subunit ribosomal RNA", at positions 1835 to 2407 of the family's 2925-position model. The record is from RNAcentral. Lineage: Eukaryota; Metazoa; Chordata; Amphibia; Anura; Leptodactylidae.